UUCAAUUCAAGAGAAUCCAAAUGAGUUUGAGGCUUGCAGCGAAUCCAGGCACAAAUUUCUUCACCUAGUCUUUCAUCGGGAACACCAACCACCUUGAUCCACACCACACAAUCAAAAAAUUUCUUCAAUUCAAGAGAAUCCAAAUGAGUUUGAGGCUUGCAGCGAAUCCAGGCACAAAUUUCUUCCCCUAGUCUUUCAUCGGGAACCCCAACCACCUUGAUCCACACCACACAAUCAAAAGGUUUACUGCUUCCG
This is a long non-coding RNA of Daphnia pulicaria, 255 nucleotides long. RefSeq lists it as uncharacterized. The transcript has 3 exons. The record is from RefSeq and is a predicted model, not a curated record. Lineage: Eukaryota; Metazoa; Arthropoda; Branchiopoda; Diplostraca; Daphniidae.